AUGAAGAAGCUUCACACCACCACCGCCACCACCACUCUGGCUCUCCUUCUCCUCCUCGUCCUCCUAGCAGCCACGUCCCUCCGUGUCGCCAUGGCUGGAUCAGCGUUUUGCGACAGCAAGUGCGGGGUGAGGUGCUCCAAGGCGAGCCGGCACGACGACUGCCUCAAGUACUGCGGGAUAUGCUGCGCCGAGUGCAACUGCGUGCCGUCGGGGACCGCCGGCAACAAGGACGAGUGCCCGUGCUACCGCGACAAGACCACCGGCCACGGCGCGCGCACGAGGCCCAAGUGCCCAUGA
This 297-nucleotide ribosomal RNA is filed under the name Triticum aestivum (bread wheat). RNAcentral describes it as "partial small subunit ribosomal RNA". Lineage: Eukaryota; Viridiplantae; Streptophyta; Magnoliopsida; Poales; Poaceae. The record is from RNAcentral.